RNAcentral lists this transfer RNA (66 nucleotides) under Megaporus rufipes. RNAcentral describes it as "tRNA-Pro". Lineage: Eukaryota; Metazoa; Arthropoda; Insecta; Coleoptera; Dytiscidae. The record is from RNAcentral.
CAGAGAAUAGUUUAAUUAAAAUAUUAAUUUUGGAGAUUAUUGAUAAGAUGAAAAUCUUUUCUCUGA